This 81-nucleotide small nucleolar RNA is filed under the name Dicentrarchus labrax (European seabass). Its description in RNAcentral is "Small nucleolar RNA MBII-202 (ENSDLAG00005020561.2)". It matches the Rfam family "Small nucleolar RNA MBII-202". Rfam says of the family: MBII-202 is a member of the C/D class of snoRNA which contain the C (UGAUGA) and D (CUGA) box motifs. Most of the members of the box C/D family function in directing site-specific 2'-O-methylation of substrate RNAs. The record is from Rfam by way of RNAcentral. Lineage: Eukaryota; Metazoa; Chordata; Actinopteri; Moronidae.
UGAUGACAAAUCUCCGGAAUCUCUGUAUUUCAUUGAUGAAACAUUUGAACCCCUUAUCUGAUGACUGCUUUUUAAAUCAAA